ACGUAGGUGACGAGCGUUGUUCGGAAUUAUUGGGCGUAAAGGGUUCGUAGGUGGUUUAUUAAGAUUGUUGUGAAAUCCCACGGCUCAACCUUGGAACUGCAUUGAAUACUGAUGAACUAGAGUGCCGAAGAGGAAAGCGGAAUUCCAGGUGUAGCGGUGAAAUGCGGAGAUCUCUGGAGGAACACCUGUGGCGAAGGCGGCUCUCUGGGCGGGAUCUGACAGUGAGGAACGAAAGCAGGGGGAGCAAACAG
This 251-nucleotide ribosomal RNA is filed under the name uncultured prokaryote. Its description in RNAcentral is "partial 16S rRNA". It matches the Rfam family "Bacterial small subunit ribosomal RNA", at positions 525 to 775 of the family's 1533-position model. The record is from RNAcentral.